CCUACGGGGGGCUGUAGUAAGGAAUAUUGGUCAAUGGAGGCAACUCUGAACCAGCCAUGCCGCGUGGAGGAUGAAGGUCCUCUGGAUUGUAAACUUCUUUUAUAUGGGACGAAAAAAGGCUUUUCUAAGUCGUCUGACGGUACCAUAUGAAUAAGCACCGGCUAACUCCGUGCCAGCAGCCGCGGUAAUACGGAGGGUGCAAGCGUUAUCCGGAUUAACUGGGGUGAAAGGGUGCGUGUAAGGGUGGGUAGAAAUCCCCGAGCUUAACUUGGGAACUGCCAUUGUUACUAUCAGUCUUGAAUACCGUGGAGGUCGGCGGAAUAUGUCAUGUAGCGGUGAAAUGCUUAGAUAUGACAUAGAACACCAAUUGCGAAGGCAGCUGGCUACGCGGAUAUUGACACUGAGGCACGAAAGCGUGGGGAUCAAACAGGAUUAGAUACCCCUGUAGUC
RNAcentral lists this ribosomal RNA (450 nucleotides) under uncultured bacterium. Its description in RNAcentral is "partial 16S ribosomal RNA". It matches the Rfam family "Bacterial small subunit ribosomal RNA", at positions 338 to 795 of the family's 1533-position model. The record is from RNAcentral.